Gasterosteus aculeatus aculeatus (three-spined stickleback) is the source of this 3201-nucleotide long non-coding RNA. The record is from Ensembl. NCBI's taxonomy places the organism in Eukaryota, Metazoa, Chordata, Actinopteri, Perciformes, Gasterosteidae.
CAUUAUGCAUGACAGUAUUUCCCAGAUGGGCCCCUCGUGGUGUAAUGACGUCACUAUUUAGCGCAGGUUGACGGGCGUCACAGAUGACGCGUCCAAGAUGGCCGACUGUUUGUGUAGCUGCUCCAUAAAAACGUUGGAUGGCUAAAAACGAGACUGGCUGACCUUGGGAUCUCAAACCGUUUCUAACACCUGCAGCUUGAAUCCUUCUGAGAGAGCGGCGCUGAACCGUGGACCUUCCACCCUUCAGCCCUCCUGCCGUCGCUCUGCACUAUUCCACCUCACACCCGUUGACGCUUUGGACCUCCUGGACCUCGGAGGUUGUGCGACGCGUCGAUCUGUACCGACUUUUGAGAAGCGUUGUGUGGAUGAACUCGUCCCUCUGGACUAACCGGGGCCGACAGAGAGGCAGCUGCUUGUGUUUGUGUGUAGUACGAGUGUUUGUUUGUGUGAGCUCCAGUGUUUAUCCAUCAACUUUGUUGUGUGUGUGUGUGUGUGUGUGUGUGUCAGUUGUCAUGGUCCAGUCAGGUCGGAGUAUCCUGAAGACACUGUCAGGCAGCAUUGGUUUCCUCUCUCGGGAUCCUGUAACACAGCCGACCCCCCGAGUUGCGUUACCUUGUCAUUUUGCGACACGCAUCAGAGUGAAGACGAGCUGGAAAUAGCCGCCGCUCGGCGACCUUGAACUCUGACAGGAGAUGACGGGAGCGCUCAAACACACACACACACACACACACACUGUGCACAGGUCCGUGCACGGACAGAAGGUUAUUUUUGUGGAACUAAUGUUAGAGAUUUAAAGAGGUAGAAUUUUUAUUUAGUUUUGCUUUCUACAACUCAAAAAACACACACUGAAAGAAGAAACCUGAAAAGAUUGAAAACCUUUAAGUAAGAAAUUAGACUUUUAAGACAAACAUGCAAGAAGCAAUAAAAGUAAAUCAAAAGAGCUGAAAGAGCAGAAACAUUUCUUGUUUCACUGAUUAGUAUUUCCUGCAGUCACUUCCUCUCGGGGGCCACUAGAGGGCAGAAGAGCACUAGGAAACGCAUGAAUCCACCGCAAUCCUAAACCGCAAGCACGCACAUGACCUUUGACCCCGACCGGGUGGACUUCAAACUUUUGCAUAUUUAACGGACUCGGCGAUAAGAAUAAUUUGAACCGGAAUUUAAAAAAACAGGAAGCAAAGACAAAUAAUGUCGGCCUCCAAUAGUGUAUUAUUGUUGUAAUGUGGAAUGUGACGAGUUCACAUCCUGAAGUUUUAGAACAAAAAGCUCACUUAUCGCUAAAAGCAGAAGAUGAGACGCAUUCACAUGGAGUCGCUUCCUUCAAUAAAUCUCAGUUAUUCUACUCAAACUAUGUGAAGGAAUUGAAGAGAUUAUUCAAGUCAUGUAAAUGGGAAAAAGAAAACAAAAGACCGUCGUCUAAAUAAACGAAUAAAAGACACAUACAUGGGAAAUACUCGGCUGCUGUCCAGGCCUUUUAUUGUGAAAAGACAUGAAUUUAAGUUGGUAUACGCUGACUUCGUCAAGGUUAAAAAGAGUAAUAAACUUUACAAUUUUGCAUCAGUGUUUUUGGAAUAAUAACAAUAAUAAAUGAAUAAUCUCCUGCACUGGGCGUUCUGGUCGAUGACUUUAUUCACGCUGUAAACGCUAAAAGAAACGUCCCCUAAAAAGGGGAAUAAUACAAAAUAUGAUUCCACCAAGGAGAAUUAUUUUAUUGUUUUUAAGUCUUGGUACCAGUUCUGUUUGUUAUUUGCAGAAAAUUCAUUUUCUUUGCUGCCUGUUUUUUGUGCAGAAAAAAAGAUCUAUUUGACAGCCGGACACAGCUGGGAGGAACCGGAGCACCGUCCAACAUCUGGAGGAGAGCCUGAAACCAGGAGAGAGGAGGUUGUCAGAGCAGCACACUAACAUCAGGAGUGACACGCACAAAGACACACACACACGAGCAGAGAGAGAGAGUGCAGAGGGCGAGUUGGGCGAGCUAGCGCUCCUCUCUCUCUCAAAGCUGCGUGGUCAGUUACGGAUUCCUGAGGGACGCCAUCGACACACGCGUGUGUGUGUGUGUGUGAGAAAUUAAUCAUUUUGCAAUUUUAACAUGAAAAAGAAGUGACAAAAAAUGUCAUGUUGCCCCGAACAACAUGAAAUCUCUGCUUCAAAAAAACCAACUGUUUCCUUCCAUAGAAUUAGAUGAUGAAUAAACAGGUUUACUGUCCUUUCUAUGUGUUGUACACUUUUUCUGUAUAGAUUUUUAAGUAUUAUGUAUUUUCUACUACGUAUCCUCAGCUUUUUCUUUCUUUUAAUCCAACGCAAUGUGACACUUUAUAAAAAACAUGAAAUGAUUAAUUGAUAAAAUAAGAAAAAAAAAAGAAAGAUAUUUUGACUUGUUGAUGGAGCUGGAACCUGACUCAUAAUGUGAUAUAUAUAUAUAUAUAUAUAUAUAUAUUAUAUGUACACGUGCGUUUUUAUAUAUAUAUACCCUCUUUUACACCGUUAUUUGGUACAUUUGGGACUUUUCAAAUACAUUUAAAGAUUAUUCAUCAAAUCAAUUAUACAAAUUCUGAAUAGAUUUAUUUAAUAAUAUUUAUUGCUUUCCUUGCCUGGUGCAAAACUUUCUUUAUUUUCUUAAAUAAUUAAAACCUCAUAUCAGCUUUUUAACAUAAAAUAAUUAACAAUUACAUUUUACUAUUUGAACUAAAAUCCAUCUUUAGCUCUAGUCUUUGCUCUUCUAUCCGCCCAUCAUUCGGUAUUGAUUACUGAUUGCUGCUGAUCCACUUGAAGCUAAACGGACCGUAUUCAGUAACUGGAGCACGUGACUGAAGGCGGAGAUCCUCUCCCUUUGUGAUCGGCUCUGUAGGUUUGAGCUUGGAUUCAUUUACAGUCACUCUCUCACGCUGUUGUUCGCCCACGUUUUAAUUGUGUGUCGCAGCUGCAGCUUGUGCGUUUUGCAUUUGUAAUAAAACUACUUUUCCUUCCUCUGAGCUCUUAGUUUCAGUUUCUGCUUCGCCUUCUUCUGGCUCCAACAACUUUGUUCCAUUUCUCAUUCUCUGGCAUAAUUACGGCUUCAUCGCUGCUCGGCGCGCUGUAGAUAUUUCUCUCGGCUUCCUUUUUUUGUCUUUUUUGGUUUGGCUCUCAUUAAUAAUUCACACGGAGAGAGAAAGGGGAAAUUUUAGCGCAAUUUGCAGCAGCUGAAUCCCUGUUAUUGUUUUGCAG